This 242-nucleotide unclassified non-coding RNA is filed under the name plant metagenome. RNAcentral describes it as "partial contains small subunit ribosomal RNA, internal transcribed spacer 1, and 5.8S ribosomal RNA". The stretch from base 1 to 54 matches the Rfam family "Eukaryotic small subunit ribosomal RNA", at positions 1778 to 1831 of the family's 1831-position model. The record is from RNAcentral.
GGAAGUAAAAGUCGUAACGAGGUUUCCGUAGGUGAACCUGCGGAAGGAUCAUUACAGAGUUCAUGCCCUCACGGGUAGAUCUCCCACCCUUGAAUAUUUAUACCUUAGUUGCUUUGGCAGGCCGUGGAAACACCAUGGGCUCCGGCUUAUGCGUGCCUGCCAGAGGAAACAAACUCUGCUUUUAGUGAUGUCUGAGUACUAUAUAAUAGUUAAAACCUUCAACAACGGAUCUCUUGGUUCUG